This 911-nucleotide ribosomal RNA is filed under the name Neobulgaria premnophila. RNAcentral's name for it is "LSU rRNA". It matches the Rfam family "Eukaryotic large subunit ribosomal RNA", at positions 38 to 964 of the family's 3401-position model. Lineage: Eukaryota; Fungi; Ascomycota; Leotiomycetes; Helotiales; Gelatinodiscaceae. The record is from RNAcentral.
GCAUAUCAAUAAGCGGAGGAAAAGAAACCAACAGGGAUUGCCCUAGUAACGGCGAGUGAAGCGGCAACAGCUCAAAUUUGAAAUCUGGCUCCUUCGGGGUCCGAGUUGUAAUUUGCAGAAGAUGCUUCUGGUGUGGCCCCGGUCUAAGUCCCUUGGCACAGGACGUCAUAGAGGGUGAGAACCCCGUAUGUGACCGGUGGCCUAUGCCUCUGUGAAGCUCUUUCAACGAGUCGAGUUGUUUGGGAAUGCAGCUCAAAUUGGGUGGUAUAUUCCAUCUAAAGCUAAAUAUUGGCCAGAGACCGAUAGCGCACAAGUAGAGUGAUCGAAAGAUGAAAAGCACUUUGAAAAGAGAGUUAAAUAGUACGUGAAAUUGUUAAAAGGGAAGCUCUUGCUACCAGACGCGGGCGCCGUUGAUCAUCCUAGGUUCUCCUAGGUGCACUCGGCGGUGCUCGGGUCAGCAUCGGUUUUGGUGGUGGGACAAAGGCCUUGGGAAUGUAGCUCCUCUUCGGAGGAGUGUUAUAGCCCUCGGUGCAAUGCCACCUACCGGGACCGAGGACCGCGCUUCGGCGAGGAUGCUGGCAUAAUGGUCGUAAGCGGCCCGUCUUGAAACACGGACCAAGGAGUCUAACAUCUAUGCGAGUGUUUGGGUGGUAAACCCAUUCGCGGAAUGAAAGUGAACGUAGCUGAGAACCCCUCGGGGCGCACCAGCGACCGAUCCUGAUGUCUUCGGACGGAUUUGAGUAAGAGCAUAGCUGUUGGGACCCGAAAGAUGGUGAACUAUGCUUGCAUAGGGUGAAGCCAGAGGAAACUCUGGUGGAGGCUCGCAGCGGUUCUGACGUGCAAAUCGAUCGUCAAAUGUGGGCAUAGGGGCGAAAGACUAAUCGAACCAUCUAGUAGCUGGUUCCUGCCGA